AGUGAACGCUGGCGGCAGGCCUAACACAUGCAAGUCGAACGGCAGCACAGUAAGAGUUUGCUCUUACGGGUGGCGAGUGGCGGACGGGUGAGGAAUACAUCGGAAUCUACUUUUUCGUGGGGGAUAACGUAGGGAAACUUACGCUAAUACCGCAUACGACCUACGGGUGAAAGCAGGGGAUCUUCGGACCUUGCGCGAUUGAAUGAGCCGAUGUCGGAUUAGCUAGUUGGCGGGGUAAAGGCCCACCAAGGCGACGAUCCGUAGCUGGUCUGAGAGGAUGAUCAGCCACACUGGAACUGAGACACGGUCCAGACUCCUACGGGAGGCAGCAGUGGGGAAUAUUGGACAAUGGGCGCAAGCCUGAUCCAGCCAUACCGCGUGGGUGAAGAAGGCCUUCGGGUUGUAAAGCCCUUUUGUUGGGAAAGAAAAGCAGCAGGUUAAUACCCCGCUGUUCUGACGGUACCCAAAGAAUAAGCACCGGCUAACUUCGUG
This 492-nucleotide ribosomal RNA is filed under the name uncultured bacterium. Its description in RNAcentral is "partial 16S ribosomal RNA". It matches the Rfam family "Bacterial small subunit ribosomal RNA", at positions 29 to 507 of the family's 1533-position model. The record is from RNAcentral.